Molecule: ribosomal RNA, 253 nt
Filed under: bacterium
Lineage: Bacteria
Also listed under: 1 other name
Description: partial 16S ribosomal RNA
Rfam family: Bacterial small subunit ribosomal RNA
Source: RNAcentral
UACGUAGGGGGCGAGCGUUAUCCGGAUUUAUUGGGCGUAAAGGGUGCGUAGGCGGCCUUACAAGUCUGAGUUGAAAGCCCACGGCUUAACCGUGGAGGGUGCUCGGAAACUGUAAGGCUUGAAUCCAGAAGAGGCAAGUAGAAUUCUAUGUGGAGCGGUGGAAUGCGUAGAUAUAUGGAGGAAUACCAGUGGCGAAGGCGGCUUGCUGGUCUGGGAUUGACGCUGAGGCACGAAAGCGUGGGGAGCAAACAGG